Molecule: ribosomal RNA, 253 nt
Filed under: uncultured bacterium
Lineage: Bacteria
Description: partial 16S ribosomal RNA
Rfam family: Bacterial small subunit ribosomal RNA
Source: RNAcentral
UACAGAGGUCUCAAGCGUUGUUCGGAUUCAUUGGGCGUAAAGGGUGUGUAGGUGGCGCGCUAAGUCGGGUGUGAAAUUUCGGAGCUUAACUCCGAAACUGCAUUCGAUACUGGCGUGCUUGAGGACUGGAGAGGAGACUGGAAUUUACGGUGUAGCAGUGAAAUGCGUAGAUAUCGUAAGGAAGACCGGUGGCGAAGGCGGGUCUCUGGGCCGAUACUGACGCUGAGGAGCGAAAGCGUGGGGAGCGAACAGG